AGCAGCCGCGGUAAUUCCAGCUCCAAUAGCGUAUAUUAAAGUUGUUGCAGUUAAAAAGCUCGUAGUUGAAUUUCGGGAUCAAUACGUCGGUCGUGCUUCGGUACGCACUGGCGUCAUUGAUUUUUCCCUUCUGACGAACCAUGAUGUCAUUAACUUGGUGUCAUGGGAAAUCAGGACUGUUACUUUGAAAAAUUAGAGUGUUUAAAGCAGGCUCACGCUUGAAUACAUUAGCAUGGAAUAAUGAAAUAGGACGUUCGAUCCUAUUUUGUUGGUUUUAGGAUCAACGUAAUGAUUAAUAGGGAUAGUUGGGGGCAUUAGUAUUCAAUUGUCAGAGUGAAAUUCUUGGAUUUAUUGAAGACUAACUACUGCGAAAGCAUUUG
This 380-nucleotide ribosomal RNA is filed under the name uncultured Glomus. RNAcentral describes it as "SSU rRNA". It matches the Rfam family "Eukaryotic small subunit ribosomal RNA", at positions 569 to 957 of the family's 1831-position model. The record is from RNAcentral. Lineage: Eukaryota; Fungi; Glomeromycota; Glomeromycetes; Glomerales; Glomeraceae.